ACCGGUAAAAAAAACCUUCCAUGCGUAAGUUUAAGACCAGUAGGAUGAAACUGCGGACGGCUCAUUAUAACAGCAAUAGUCUCUUUGGUAGUCGUACAGGAUAACUUUGUGAAUGAUAGAGCUAAUACUUGAGACCAUCCGGGAUGAAUUUAUACUUUCCGGCCCCCGGUCGCAAUGCCGGGGAAAAACGACACUCUCUUGUGAAAAAGGAUGCCCCGACAAUUGAGGAAAGCGACGCUUUUUACAAGUAACCAAUGGGAAUUUCUGAUCUAUC
This 274-nucleotide ribosomal RNA is filed under the name Entamoeba bovis. Its description in RNAcentral is "partial small subunit ribosomal RNA". It matches the Rfam family "Eukaryotic small subunit ribosomal RNA", at positions 46 to 316 of the family's 1831-position model. Lineage: Eukaryota; Evosea; Mastigamoebida; Endamoebidae. The record is from RNAcentral.